This 487-nucleotide ribosomal RNA is filed under the name uncultured bacterium. Its description in RNAcentral is "bacterial SSU rRNA". It matches the Rfam family "Bacterial small subunit ribosomal RNA", at positions 28 to 516 of the family's 1533-position model. The record is from RNAcentral.
GAUGAACGCUAGCGGCAGGCUUAACACAUGCAAGUCGAGGGGCAGCACGUCUUCGGAUGGUGGCGACCGGCGCACGGGUGCGUAACGCGUAUAGAACCUACCUUUUACAGGGGAAUAGCCCAGAGAAAUUUGGAUUAAUGCCCCAUAGUAUUAUUAGAUGGCAUCAUUUGGUAAUUAAACAUUAUGGGUAAAGAUGGCUAUGCGUUCUAUUAGCUAGAUGGUAAGGUAACGGCUUACCAUGGCGACGAUAGAUAGGGGUCCUGAGAGGGAGAUCCCCCACACUGGUACUGAGACACGGACCAGACUCCUACGGGAGGCAGCAGUGAGGAAUAUUGGACAAUGGGCGAGAGCCUGAUCCAGCCAUGCCGCGUGCAGGAAGACGGUCCUAUGGAUUGUAAACUGCUUUUAUACAGGAAGAAACACUCCCUCGUGAGGGAAUUUGACGGUACUGUAUGAAUAAGCACCGGCUAACUCCGUGCCAGCAGCC